GGCAAACUUUCAAGACCAACCGGAAAUGUCCUAUCUGCGUUUGGAACAAGAAUGCCAGAGAUAUCUACACACGGCCGUCUAAUGGGUCCCUGUGGCUGGCUUUCCCAAGCUAAGUAGCAGAGUCUUACUGCGCUCCUGAAGCGGCAACUCUGAGGGCUGAGAAGAAAUCGCAUCCUCAUAGACCUGCCCUGCCCUGCCCUGACCCAGCUGUGAGCAUCAGGACCUCUGGAGUCUAGGGAAGCCAUGGUCAAGACUCUGCUCUGAGGCCCCCAGGGGCCCUCACGGUUCCCCCAAAGUUUCAAUUACUCAAUAGUAAGAGUCUAUAGCACUGUCAAGUUUUCAACUACAGGCUCCAUGUCUACUGGGUAAGACUCCAACGCCUCAGCAGGGCAAACCAGGGAUCCGUGAUAAAUGAUGACCCACAAGUGGUCUGGCACUGUGGAGUUUGGCAGUCCUCCUUGGGUGUGAUAAUUUCCUACCCACCAACCAUCCUGUCAGCACGUCGGAUUUAAAAUAUCACACGUGGAACAAUGAAAGAUUGCCAGCAUCUCACCACCACCUUUUGAUUAAUGAGCCAUUCCUCUGAGAUGGAUUGGCUUGUUUGAUUCCGUUACCUGGGAUGACUGAUGGCUGUUUUAAAAAACACUUAGCGGCAGCGUUGCCCUGCGUGAGAUAAUUUUCAUACGCCUUUUGCAGCCGCAUCCAGAAUAAUUGGACUUUAUUGCCUGCCUUCCAUGCAUGAACCCAAGUUCCCUGGAGAAGCCUAACAGCUUGAGACCCCGCUGCUGUAGUCUUUCCACACUGAUCAGCUGCCGUGGUCACAGGAAAGCUCCCACCAGAUGGCCGGCCAGCCUUCUAGUGACAUUUCCCGUUUCCCGUCCAUUACUCACCAACGGAAAAUAAUGUGACAUGAACUCCCCAUUUUUGAGUAAUAUGUGGUUAUAUCCUUGUGGUUCCUGUGCUAAAGGCAAAUGAAUUAUCA
Long non-coding RNA from Mus musculus (house mouse), 982 nucleotides. RefSeq annotates it as predicted gene, 31012. The transcript is spliced from 2 exons. Lineage: Eukaryota; Metazoa; Chordata; Mammalia; Rodentia; Muridae. The record is from RefSeq and is a predicted model, not a curated record.